This is a long non-coding RNA of Bubalus bubalis (water buffalo), 1629 nucleotides long. RefSeq lists it as uncharacterized. The transcript has 2 exons. NCBI's taxonomy places the organism in Eukaryota, Metazoa, Chordata, Mammalia, Artiodactyla, Bovidae. The record is from RefSeq and is a predicted model, not a curated record.
GAGCUACCUGCUUCGGCCCCUCCCCGCCCCCGGCCGGGACCCGGAGCAGGACCAGGGGGCGCCGCCCCCAACCAGCGCGGGGGCUGGGCCGGGGCGGGGAGAGCCGCAGGCAGCCCGCAGCUGUUGCGCCCCAUCACGCUCCGCCUGGCGCCGGGGUGCACGGCGCAGACACGCGGCGGGGCCAGAGCGCCCCAGCAGACUCGGUACGGAGAGAGCACGAGUCGCCCGCCCUGAGCGGCGAGUUCUGCGCUGGAGUUGACUGUGCGUGCGGGUGCUGAUGAGAAAUGGAGAAUGGAGGGGGAAGCAUUCCUGGUGGAGCAGGCCAAGGACAUAGCAAGAGCUGGGAUGUAGGAGGGAUGUGAUAUGGCUCAAGCCCACCUCUGCCAACUCAGCAUUCAUGGGAGCUGUGAGCACCACCGCCAGCCCUGGUGUGAUUGAAGUCUGGAGACCCAAGUCUUGGGAUGCUGCUGUGUGACCAGCACGAAGCUUCCUGUCUUGCUACCAUCUCAUCUCAUUAUUAGCAAGCCACCUGGAUGGCUGGGUUGCAUUCAACCCCUCCUUGCAUUUCCAGCAGGGCUUUGUCCAUAACAGACAUUCAGUAUCAGUGGAGUUGAAUCUUCAAGAGGGAGACUAGGGAAGUCUAACUUCAGUGCCCCAGUAGGACUAGCAGUGGAUUCAGAGGCAAGGCAGAAAGAGUCUUGAGAAUUUAUCAACCACUCUGCGUGAAUGUGAGGAACACUUACAUGAUUCUAAGUUCCUAUGUUUGGGGGGGAAAAUAUUAAGAAGAGAGGUGGUUAGAAUGGGAUUGGUGUUAGGGGCAUGAUUAAUUUGGAGUGCUAAAAAGUCAUCAGGCGGCAUUGUCCAGACACAGUUUAAAAUUGUGGGAACUGAACUGGUACUUGAGAAAGAAGCCAAUCAGAGAUGUCCAUUUGGGAUUGUUCUUGCCCAUCCUGUUGGCCGUGGCUUAUAAAUCAUCCCCAAAUUGAUCACUCUUUCCUCUAACACUGUUACCCUGGUCCAAGCCACCACGAUUUUUUACAGAUGUGUCUUACCAAGUGUUGUUCUUGUUCAGGCCUUUGACCUGCUUCUGACCUGCCUGGACAUUGCCCAGACUCCAUGCCUGCCUGCAAGCACAAGUCAAAGUGAGUGGCCCUUAGAAGUCUUGAGCCCUUGGAGGUCUGGUCAACCCCUCAGGGUCUAACGAAAUCCUAUGACUCACAAGGUGAAACAAACAGCACUGUAAAAAGGUUAAAGCAAAACCAAAGCUGCAUUUUUGCCUGCAAACUGAUGAUGGGAUUAUAAGCAGGAGCCCCCGAAACUGCAAUCUGAAGUCUCACCCAUGGAGUAGACACACUGCCCGGGACCUCUUCCCAGUGGGGACUGCAGAUUGCUAUUAACGAGGGACUUCCCAGCGCUAUUCGUCUCGAUGUUGGUCGACCUAAUUUUGUGAUAUCUGUGCUGUUACUGUUUUCUAUCAUUUCUAUUUUUCUUUUCUUUUAAUGAUUGUAUACUUAAGUUAAAAAAUCCUCUAUUAAAUACUGAAAUUGUUUAUUCUGUGUAUGUUGAGCAGUUUCUUUUGUUAACGAAUCCUUCAAACCUAAAACAAAAAUAAAACUUGCAGCGAAACAA